RNAcentral lists this ribosomal RNA (627 nucleotides) under Bradyrhizobium japonicum. RNAcentral's name for it is "bacterial SSU rRNA". It matches the Rfam family "Bacterial small subunit ribosomal RNA", at positions 61 to 732 of the family's 1533-position model. Lineage: Bacteria; Pseudomonadati; Pseudomonadota; Alphaproteobacteria; Hyphomicrobiales; Nitrobacteraceae. The record is from RNAcentral.
GUCGAGCGGGCGUAGCAAUACGUCAGCGGCAGACGGGUGAGUAACGCGUGGGAACGUACCUUUUGGUUCGGAACAACACAGGGAAACUUGUGCUAAUACCGGAUAAGCCCUUACGGGGAAAGAUUUAUCGCCGAAAGAUCGGCCCGCGUCUGAUUAGCUAGUUGGUAGGGUAACGGCCUACCAAGGCGACGAUCAGUAGCUGGUCUGAGAGGAUGAUCAGCCACAUUGGGACUGAGACACGGCCCAAACUCCUACGGGAGGCAGCAGUGGGGAAUAUUGGACAAUGGGGGCAACCCUGAUCCAGCCAUGCCGCGUGAGUGAUGAAGGCCCUAGGGUUGUAAAGCUCUUUUGUGCGGGAAGAUAAUGACGGUACCGCAAGAAUAAGCCCCGGCUAACUUCGUGCCAGCAGCCGCGGUAAUACGAAGGGGGCUAGCGUUGCUCGGAAUCACUGGGCGUAAAGGGUGCGUAGGCGGGUCUUUAAGUCAGGGGUGAAAUCCUGGAGCUCAACUCCAGAACUGCCUUUGAUACUGAAGAUCUUGAGUUCGGGAGAGGUGAGUGGAACUGCGAGUGUAGAGGUGAAAUUCGUAGAUAUUCGCAAGAACACCAGUGGCGAAGGCGGCUCACUGG